Molecule: long non-coding RNA, 389 nt
Organism: Amblyraja radiata (thorny skate)
Lineage: Eukaryota; Metazoa; Chordata; Chondrichthyes; Rajiformes; Rajidae
Exons: 3
Source: RefSeq, a predicted model, not a curated record
CUGGAGUCUACUGCCAGGGCCGGGACAAGUACGAGGACCAGGCCGAGAUCCAUGCCCUGGUGCUGCUCUACGACCUGGAUGUGCCUCUUGCUGUCCACUUAAGCUUUAUUGGCUGGGGAUGAAUGGGACAAUCAGCCCUUUCCACCAGUAAUGAAUAAUUUAAAGGCUCCCUCAGCACUGUGGAAAAGACAUACACAUGAGGGCAUUUUAGGUUUAGUUGUAUUUCCCUUUAGGUUACCAUCCUUCAGGAAGAACAAUGACAAGCAUUUGAACCCUCCCUUUCAACCUCCUCCAAAUAAUGAAAAACCUUCUACCUCAAUGCGCUGGUUUUCGUAAUUGGCACGAAACAAAGAGACUCGGGUUUUACUGAUGGAGGGAGAGUUUGAUGC